UGACCUCGGAUCAGGUAGGGAUACCCGCUGAACUUAAGCAUAUCAAUAAGCGGAGGAAAAGAAACCAACAGGGAUUGCCUCAGUAACGGCGAGUGAAGCGGCAAAAGCUCAAAUUUUAAAGCUGACAUCUUCGGUGUCCGCGUUGUAAUUUUGUGAGGCAUCUCCGGGUAGGGCGCCGGCCUAAGUUCCUUGGAACAGGACGUCACAGAGGGUGAGAAUCCCGUGCUUGGCUGGCUGUCCCCGUCCAUGUGAGGUGUCUUCGACGAGUCGAGUUGUUUGGGAAUGCAGCUCAAAAUGGGUGGUAAAUUUCAUCUAAAGCUAAAUAUUGGUGGGAGACCGAUAGCGCACAAGUAGAGUGAUCGAAAGAUGAAAAGCACUUUGAAAAUAGAGUUAAAAAGUACGUGAAAUUGUUGAAAGGGAAGCGCUUGAGACCAGACUUCGGUAAGGGGUGAUCAGCCGUCCUUUUGGGCGGUGCACUUGCCCCCCUCCGGGCCAGCAUCGGUUGAGGCGGCGGGAUAAAGGUCCCGGGAAUGUGGCUCCUUCACGGGAGUGUUAUAGCCCGGGUGAAUGCCGCCAGCUUCGACCGAGGACCGCACCCGCAAGGGUUAGGAUGCUUGGCAUAAUGGUCUUCAGCGACCCGUCUU
RNAcentral lists this ribosomal RNA (644 nucleotides) under Morchella norvegiensis. RNAcentral describes it as "partial 28S ribosomal RNA". It matches the Rfam family "Eukaryotic large subunit ribosomal RNA", at positions 1 to 655 of the family's 3401-position model. Lineage: Eukaryota; Fungi; Ascomycota; Pezizomycetes; Pezizales; Morchellaceae. RNAcentral also lists the same sequence under 1 other name. The record is from RNAcentral.